GGGGGUGUAGCUCAGUGGUAGAGCACAGGCACAAGGUCCUGGGUUCAAUUCCCAGUACCCCCA
This 63-nucleotide transfer RNA is filed under the name Camelus bactrianus (Bactrian camel). It matches the Rfam family "tRNA". From Rfam's summary of the family: Transfer RNA (tRNA) molecules are approximately 80 nucleotides in length. Their secondary structure includes four short double-helical elements and three loops (D, anti-codon, and T loops). The record is from Rfam by way of RNAcentral. RNAcentral also lists the same sequence under 2 other names. Lineage: Eukaryota; Metazoa; Chordata; Mammalia; Artiodactyla; Camelidae.